Molecule: ribosomal RNA, 460 nt
Filed under: uncultured bacterium
Lineage: Bacteria
Description: partial 16S ribosomal RNA
Rfam family: Bacterial small subunit ribosomal RNA
Source: RNAcentral
CCUACGGGAGGCAGCAGUGAGGAAUAUUGGUCAAUGGACGAGAGUCUGAACCAGCCAAGCCGCGUGAAGGAUGACUGCACUAUGGGUUGUAAACUUCUUUUAUAUGGGAAUAAAAUGUUCCACGUGUGGGCUUUUGUAUGUACCUUAAGAAUAAGGAUCGGCUAACUCCGUGCCAGCAGCCGCGGUAGUACGGAGGAUCCGAGCGUUAUCCGGAUUUAUUGGGUUUAAAGGGAGCGCAGGUGGGUUGUUAAGUCAGGUGUGAAAGUUUGGGGCUCAACCGUAAGAUUGCAGUUGAAACUGGCAGUCUUGAGUACAGUAGAGGUAUGCGGAAUGCGUGGUGUAGCGGUGAAAUGCUUAGAUAUCACGAAGAACUCCGAUUGCGAAGGCAGCUCACUGGACUGCAACUGACGCUGAGGCUCGAAAGUGUGGGUAUCAAACAGGAUUAGAUACCCUGGUAGUC